This 301-nucleotide ribosomal RNA is filed under the name uncultured bacterium. Its description in RNAcentral is "partial 16S ribosomal RNA". It matches the Rfam family "Bacterial small subunit ribosomal RNA", at positions 509 to 807 of the family's 1533-position model. The record is from RNAcentral.
CAGUCGCCGCGGGAACACGAAGGGUGCAAGCGUUACUCGGAAUUACUGGGCGUAAAGCGUGCGUAGGUGGUGGUUUAAGUCCGUUGUGAAAGCCCUGGGCUCAACCUGGGAAUUGCAGUGGAUACUGGGUCACUAGAGUGUGGUAGAGGAUAGUGGAAUUUCCGGUGUAGCAGUGAAAUGCGUAGAGAUCGGAAGGAACAUCUGUGGCGAAGGCGACUAUCUGGGCCAACACUGACACUGAGGCACGAAAGCGUGGGGAGCAAACAGGAUUAGAUACCCCUGUAGUCCCUGUCUCUUAUAC